AGCAACACCCUGGCCUCAGCCUCCCAGAGUGCUGAGAUUUCACAGUUUAAUCAUGAAAGGCUCUUCUGAUUGGCCGCCUCCAGGGACUAGUGCCUCUGCUCGGCUGGCCCUCUAGGAGUCGACAGCAAAUAAACAAUUCCCGACAGCAAAUAAACAAUUCCCGCUGGGAAGCUGGUCUCAGACAGGAGCAUCCACACCCCUGCCACGCCUGCCGCCUGGAGCUGAGUGGGGUCCCUGUGCCGCCUUCAGCGCACCUCCCUAGGCACCUCUG
Long non-coding RNA from Cebus imitator (Panamanian white-faced capuchin), 271 nucleotides. RefSeq lists it as uncharacterized. The transcript has 3 exons. The record is from RefSeq and is a predicted model, not a curated record. Lineage: Eukaryota; Metazoa; Chordata; Mammalia; Primates; Cebidae.